CCUACGGGAGGCAGCAGUGGGGAAUUUUGGACAAUGGACGCAAGUCUGAUCCAGCCAUGCCGCGUGUGGGAAGAAGGCCUUCGGGUUGUAAACCACUUUUGUCAGGGAAGAAACGGUCUAGGUUAAUACCUUGGGCUAAUGACGGUACCUGAAGAAUAAGCACCGGCUAACUACGUGCCAGCAGCCGCGGUAAUACGUAGGGUGCAAGCGUUAAUCGGAAUUACUGGGCGUAAAGCGUGCGCAGGCGGUUAUGCAAGACAGAUGUGAAAUCCCCGGGCUCAACCUGGGAACUGCAUUUGUGACUGCAUGGCUAGAGUACGGUAGAGGGGGAUGGAAUUCCGCGUGUAGCAGUGAAAUGCGUAGAUAUGCGGAGGAACACCGAUGGCGAAGGCAAUCCCCUGGACCUGUACUGACGCUCAUGCACGAAAGCGUGGGGAGCAAACAGGAUUAGAUACCCUGGUAGUCCACGCCCUAAACGAUGUCAACUGGUUGUUGGGAGGGUUUCUUCUCAGUAACGUAGCUAACGCGUGAAGUUGACCGCCUGGGGNGGACGCGCGAGUAGAGANAAGAGUAGNGNGNGNGAGNGCGAGACGACGACGAGGAGAGG
This 607-nucleotide ribosomal RNA is filed under the name uncultured bacterium. Its description in RNAcentral is "bacterial SSU rRNA". The stretch from base 1 to 542 matches the Rfam family "Bacterial small subunit ribosomal RNA", at positions 338 to 873 of the family's 1533-position model. The record is from RNAcentral.